RNAcentral lists this ribosomal RNA (500 nucleotides) under uncultured bacterium. RNAcentral describes it as "partial 16S ribosomal RNA". It matches the Rfam family "Bacterial small subunit ribosomal RNA", at positions 30 to 523 of the family's 1533-position model. The record is from RNAcentral.
AUUGAACGCUGGCGGAAUGCUUUACACAUGCAAGUCGAACGGCAGCACGGACUUCGGUCUGGUGGCGAGUGGCGAACGGGUGAGUAAUGUAUCGGAACGUGCCCAGUCGUGGGGGAUAACGUAGUGAAAAUUACGCUAAUACCACAUACGAUCUAUGGAUGAAAGCGGGGGAUCGCAAGACCUCGCGCGAUUGGAUCGGCCGAUAUCAGAUUAGGUAGUUGGUGGGGUAAAGGCCCACCAAGCCAACGAUCUGUGGCUGGUCUGAGAGGACGACCAGCCACACUGGGACUGAGACACGGUCCAGACUCCUACGGGAGGCAGCAGUGGGGAAUUUUGGACGAUAGGCGAAAGCCUGAUCCUGCCAUUCCGCGUGCAGGAUGAAGGCCCUCGGGUUGUAACCUGCUUUUGUACAGAACGAAAAGGUUUCUACUAAUACUAGGAGCUCAUGACGGUACUGUAAGAAUAAGCACCGGCUAACUACGUGCCAGCAGCCGCCGUAA